UUUCAAAGUUACCUGAAAUCAUCUCUCCUUUUUCUCCCAGAUCAGAUGCGAGACCCCUCAUUGAUCGCCUUCUCUGCAAAAUGCGUCCUCUGUCCUCUUCUUCGCCGCCGGUUUUACCCAACGAUGCUUCUGAAAGCGGUGAAUCCGCCGAGCGCCGUCUUCAUGAGGCGGAGGAGCGCUUAAGAGAGGCAAUUGAAGAGCUUCAACGCCGGCAACGUCGUGCCAGAGGUAUCUAUCCGCCCUGUGACCAUGCCGAUGAAUCAUGUGUUGCUAACGCAAUUGGUAACGUUUGCCAAAGUUUUCUUCUCUCUUAUGGUGUUCGCGUUGGCAUCGGUAUCCUCCUCCGUGCUUUUAAGCUAGCUCGUCGCCAGUCCUAUUCUUCUCUACUCGAUCUCAAGCAACUUGUGUCCGA
This 412-nucleotide unclassified non-coding RNA is filed under the name Hevea brasiliensis (rubber tree). The record is from RNAcentral. Lineage: Eukaryota; Viridiplantae; Streptophyta; Magnoliopsida; Malpighiales; Euphorbiaceae.